RNAcentral lists this ribosomal RNA (465 nucleotides) under uncultured bacterium. RNAcentral's name for it is "partial 16S ribosomal RNA". It matches the Rfam family "Bacterial small subunit ribosomal RNA", at positions 338 to 795 of the family's 1533-position model. The record is from RNAcentral.
CCUACGGGUGGCAGCAGUAGGGAAUCUUCCACAAUGGGCGAAAGCCUGAUGGAGCAACGCCGCGUGGGUGAAGAAGGUCUUCGGAUCGUAAAACCCUGUUGUUAGAGAAGACAGUGCGUGAGAGUAACUGUUCACGUUUCGACGGUAUCUAACCAGAAAGCCACGGCUAACUACGUGCCAGCAGCCGCGGUAAUACGUAGGUGGCAAGCGUUAUCCGGAUUUAUUGGGCGUAAAGGGAACGCAGGCGGUCUUUUACGUCUGAUGUGAAAGCCUUCGGCUUAACCGGAGUAGUGCAUUGGAAACUGGGAGACGUGAGUGCAGAAGAGGAGAGUGGAACGCCAUGUGUAGCGGUGAAAUGCGUAGAUAUAUGGAAGAACACCAGUGGCGAAAGCGGCUCUCUGGUCUGUAACUGACGCUGAGGUUCGAAAGCGUGGGUAGCAAACAGGAUUAGAUACCCCUGUAGUC